UAGGAACUACUAGUACCGAAUAAAGUUUAGUUUUCCCUGUUUUAUGUAUUUCCCCACCAGAAAAUACUACAGAGAAGUAAAAACACAGCUACAACCAACCAAAUGAGAGCAAAACAAAAACGCUUUGAUGUGGAUUUGUCCGUGAUAGAAGACUAUGACUAUUGAGGUUAAUCUAUUUUGGCAAGUACCUCUCAGGCACCUACAGAGGGCCCAGCUCAGGCUGUGAUUUCGCGGGGACUUCUAGAACAGAUUCCGAGAGAGGGAGGUUUAUCUGAAGCGAUUUGAAUUUGUUCUAUUUCAUCGUUAAUUAUCAGACUGGAAAAGUGUACAGGAUUAUGACAGUGGAAACAGGCAUGGAUAUUGACCUUUUCCUUCACCACGGCUCAACUGUGAAUAUUCACAAUACAAAGAAUGCCAUAGAUGUCUUAAUUAGUGAACCUCUGGAUGUGUCUACUUGACAGC
This is a non-coding RNA of Myodes glareolus (Bank vole), 462 nucleotides long. The record is from RefSeq and is a predicted model, not a curated record. Lineage: Eukaryota; Metazoa; Chordata; Mammalia; Rodentia; Cricetidae.